Molecule: ribosomal RNA, 253 nt
Filed under: uncultured bacterium
Lineage: Bacteria
Description: partial 16S ribosomal RNA
Rfam family: Bacterial small subunit ribosomal RNA
Source: RNAcentral
UACGUAGGGGGCAAGCGUUGUCCGGAAUCAUUGGGCGUAAAGAGCGUGUAGGCGGCCCGGUAAGUCCGCUGUGAAAGUCCAGGGCUCAACCCUGGGAUGCCGGUGGAUACUGUCGGGCUCGAGUCCGGAAGAGGAGUGUGGAAUUCCUGGUGUAGCGGUGAAAUGCGCAGAUAUCAGGAAGAACACCCGUGGCUAAGGCGGUUCUCUAGUACGGUACUGACGCUGAGACGCGAAAGCGUGGGGAGCGAACAGG